AGAGUUUGAUCAUGGCUCAGGACGAACGCUGGCAGCGUGCUUAAUACAUGCAAGUCGAGCGAGGUUACUGUUUUGGAUCCCUUCGGGGUGAAGAAGCUUUAACCUAGCGGCGGACGGGUGAGUAACGCGUGGGUAACCUACCCCAAAGUCCGGGAUAACAGCGGGAAACCGCUGCUAAUACCGGAUGUCUUUACCUUGGGGCAUCUUGAGGUAAAGAAAGGUAACGCUUUGGGAUGGGCCCGCGUCCCAUUAGCUAGUUGGUGAGGUAACGGCUCACCAAGGCGACGAUGGGUAGCCGGCCUGAGAGGGUGGACGGCCACACUGGGACUGAGACACGGCCCAGACUCCUACGGGAGGCAGCAGUAGGGAAUAUUGCGCAAUGGACGGAAGUCUGACGCAGCGACGCCGCGUGAGCGAUGAAGGUCUUCGGAUCGUAAAGCUCUGUCCUUGGGGAAGAAGGCGAAAGCUUGACGGUACCCAAGAAGAAAGCCCCGGCUAACUACGUGCCAGCAGCCGCGGUAAUACGUAGGGGGCGAGCGUUGUCCGGAAUUACUGGGCGUAAAGGGUGCGUAGGCGGCCCUUUAAGUCGGAUGUGAAAGCCCGCGGCUUAACCGCGGAAUGGCAUUCGAAACUGGAGGGCUUGAGUGUCGGAGAGGGUAGUGGAAUUCCCAGUGUAGCGGUGAAAUGCGUAGAUAUUGGGAGGAACACCAGUGGCGAAGGCGACUACCUGGACGAUAACUGACGCUGAGGCACGAAAGCUAGGGGAGCAAACAGGAUUAGAUACCCUGGUAGUCCUAGCCGUAAACGAUGGGUACUAGGUGUGGGUGGUUUCGAUACCAUCCGUGCCGUAGUUAACGCAUUAAGUACCCCGCCUGGGGAGUACGUGCGCAAGCAUGAAACUCAAAUGAAUUGACGG
This 916-nucleotide ribosomal RNA is filed under the name uncultured bacterium. RNAcentral's name for it is "bacterial SSU rRNA". It matches the Rfam family "Bacterial small subunit ribosomal RNA", at positions 8 to 916 of the family's 1533-position model. The record is from RNAcentral.